RNAcentral lists this transfer RNA (75 nucleotides) under Promethearchaeota archaeon. Its description in RNAcentral is "Candidatus Lokiarchaeota archaeon (anaerobic digester metagenome) tRNA-Ala". It matches the Rfam family "tRNA". Rfam says of the family: Transfer RNA (tRNA) molecules are approximately 80 nucleotides in length. Their secondary structure includes four short double-helical elements and three loops (D, anti-codon, and T loops). Further hydrogen bonds mediate the characteristic L-shaped molecular structure. tRNAs have two regions of fundamental functional importance: the anti-codon, which is responsible for specific mRNA codon recognition, and the 3' end, to which the tRNAs corresponding amino acid is attached (by aminoacyl-tRNA synthetases). tRNAs cope with the degeneracy of the genetic code in two manners: having more than one tRNA (with a specific anti-codon) for a particular amino acid; and 'wobble' base-pairing, i.e. permitting non-standard base-pairing at the 3rd anti-codon position. The record is from RNAcentral. Lineage: Archaea; Promethearchaeati; Promethearchaeota.
GGGCAUAUAGUUAAGUGGUAUAACGCUCGCUUCGCAAGCGAGAGGCCGCGGGUUCAAUUCCCGCUAUGUCCACCA